RNAcentral lists this ribosomal RNA (253 nucleotides) under uncultured bacterium. RNAcentral's name for it is "partial 16S ribosomal RNA". It matches the Rfam family "Bacterial small subunit ribosomal RNA", at positions 524 to 776 of the family's 1533-position model. The record is from RNAcentral.
UACGUAGGGAGCAAGCGUUGUUCGGAUUUACUGGGCGUAAAGGGCGCGUAGGCGGCCUGUCAAGUCAACUGUGAAAUCUCCGGGCUUAACUCGGAACGGUCAGUUGAUACUGUCAGGCUAGAGUGCAGAAGGGGCAAUCGGAAUUCUUGGUGUAGCGGUGAAAUGCGUAGAUAUCAGGAGGAAUACCGGUGGCGAAAGCGACUCUCUGGACGGCAACUGACGCUGAGGCACGAAAGCGUGGGGAGCAAACAGG